Molecule: ribosomal RNA, 408 nt
Filed under: uncultured bacterium
Lineage: Bacteria
Description: partial 16S ribosomal RNA
Rfam family: Bacterial small subunit ribosomal RNA
Source: RNAcentral
GACGAACGCUGGCGGCGUGCUUAACACAUGCAAGUCGAACGAAGUGGCGAACGGGUGAGUAACGCGUAAUCAACCUGCCCUUAAGAGGGUGACAACAGUUGGAAACGAACGCUAAUACCGCAUACUGAAGGAGGGGAUUGCGUCUGCAUGGUUAGUUGAAGGGGUAACGGCCCACCAAGGCGAAGAUCAGUAGCGGGUCUGAGAGGAUUAACGGCCACAGUGGGACUGAGAAACGGCCCAGACUCCUACGGGAGGCAGCAGUGGGGAAUCUUCCGCAAUGGACGCAAGUCUGACGGAGCAACGCCGCGUGAGUGAUGACGGCCUUCGGGUUGUAAAGCUCUGUUAAUCGGGACGCGGUACCGGAAUAGAAAGCCACGGCUAACUACGUGCCAGCAGCCGCGGUAAUAC